Xyrauchen texanus (razorback sucker) is the source of this 426-nucleotide non-coding RNA. NCBI's taxonomy places the organism in Eukaryota, Metazoa, Chordata, Actinopteri, Cypriniformes, Catostomidae. The record is from the annotation of a RefSeq genome assembly.
UUCAUGACUGACAGCAGAACAGAACACAAUCUUCAUCAUCACACAACACAAACAACAACAAUGACCUUCAGCAUCAUCUUCAUCUGGACUUUUGCCGUUUUUAUUCAAGGAUCCAGAGGAGUCACUCUGACUCAACCUAAAGUUAAAACUGUUCAACAGGGACAAACAGCCACUAUAGAGUGUCAUAUAGAUGUUGGGAUAUACAGCACCUACUUAGCCUGGUAUAAUCAGAAACCUGGAGAAGCUCCUAAACUCCUCAUUUAUUAUAUAAGUACUCUUCAGUCUGGAACUCCAUCUAGAUUCAGUGGCAGUGGAUCUGGAAGUGAUUUCACUCUGAGCAUCAGUGGAGUCCAGACUGAAGAUUCAGGAGAUUAUUACUGUCAGAGUGAACACUAUAUCAACAGUAAAUAUGUGUUCACACAGUGA